Molecule: ribosomal RNA, 329 nt
Filed under: uncultured Lachnospiraceae bacterium
Lineage: Bacteria; Bacillati; Bacillota; Clostridia; Lachnospirales; Lachnospiraceae
Description: bacterial SSU rRNA
Rfam family: Bacterial small subunit ribosomal RNA
Source: RNAcentral
GAUGAACGCUGGCGGCGUGCCUAACACAUGCAAGUCGAACGGGAACCUCACAGUGGAGACUUCGGCCAAAGCAGUGAGAAUUCUAGUGGCGGAUGGGUGAGUAACGCGUGGGUAACCUGCCUAUAAGAAUUGGAUAACAGUGAGAAAUCACUGCUAAUACAAUAUAAGCCCACAGGACCGCAUGGUCCAGGGGGAAAAGAUUCAUCGCUACGAGAUGGACCCGCGUUUGAUUAGUUAGUUGGCGGUGUAACGGACCACCAAGACGACGAUCAAUAGCCGGACUGAGAGGUUGAACGGCCACAUUGGGACUGAGACACGGCCCAAACUCC